RNAcentral lists this unclassified non-coding RNA (384 nucleotides) under uncultured Phycisphaerae bacterium. RNAcentral describes it as "contains 16S-23S intergenic spacer region". The record is from RNAcentral. Lineage: Bacteria; Pseudomonadati; Planctomycetota; Phycisphaerae.
UCCGGUUUAACACCGGCAGUCUCGCUAAAGUGCUCAGCUUUACCCGUUAGCAACUAGCGACAAGGGUUUCGCUCGUUAGGGGACUUAACCCGACAUCUCACGACACGAGCUGACGACAGCCAUGCAGCACCUGUGCAUGUUCCACGGCAAGCCGCGUCAUUCUGCUUUCACAGAACUAAUCCAUGCAUGUCAAACCCAGGUCAGGUUCUUCGCGUUGCUUCGAAUUAAGCCACAUGCUCCACCGCUUGUGUGAGCCCCCGUCAAUUCCUUUGAGUUUUAGCCUUGCGGCCGUACUCCCCAGGCGGCGCACUUAACACUUUUGUUUCGGCUCACUCGGCGUCAGAGCCUCGUGAACCUUGUGCGCAUCGUUUACGGCGUGGACUA